GUAAGGAGGGAAUCCCCCUCAAGAGAUGAGAUGUACUACACAAGGCUACAAGUUUCUCUGUAAAAGUCUGACUUUUAGAUUAAUCAGAAAACGCGUCUUAUUUUUAUUCGUUCCUUUAAUGACAGAUGUUAGGACCUGGACACUUUUUUUUAUUUUUCUGCAUUUACUACAGUCAGAGGCAUUAAUUUAAAUCCAGUGACAGAUGAGACUUCAGUCUCUCUCUGUUUGAACAAACAUCACUAUGAAGUAUAGCAGUAGCAAAUCAUCUGAUGUCAAAAAUCAUGUCAGAAAAGAGAUGAGGAGUUUUUGGUUUUGAAACUAAAUUUUGAACUGAGCCAUGUUGGUCUUGAAAGAGCUGACUUUUCAGAAUGAAACUUUUCAUUCCUGAAGGGGUUCAUUUCACAACAAUGACCCGCUAGCUGUACAUUAUCCCGCUCAUUACACGGCUACUUACUGAAGAAAUCAAUAAUUUGACACAAAAAUGGUCCAAAGUCUGCGUCCAUAGCAAGUUUGUUAUUCACAACAGCGGGCUCCUAUAAAGACAUUAUAGUCCGUAGAACACCGUGAUUGACCAAUCAGAAUCGAGUAUUAAACAGAGACACGUCAUUUUUGUUUGUUUGUAAAGUUGUAACUCCUGCUGUUUUUGUGUUUUGUUUGUUUUGUGUAUUGUUCAAAUGGGUUCAGUACAUAUUUGGAACUGGACAUAUAUGUAGUUAUUGCCAGAACCUCAAUUAAAAAAAACCAAAGCCAUGUAAUAAUAUUAGAUGAUAUCCUAGAGUCCAAGGUCAACAGUCAAAAACCUAAAAAAUAUUAAAUUUAGAACCAAGAAAAUCAUGAAAUGAUCACAUCUGACAACCUGGAACCAUGCUUGGAAAAUGAUUUAAACUGUUAAUUGGUUGUAAUAAUAGUUGCAGAUUAUCUCUCUCGAUUAAUCGAGUAAUCAUUGCAGUUCUAAUUAAUGCAUUUAUUUGCUCUAGUCUACUUCAUGCAUGCAGGGACACUAGCAGUGUCAGAAUAUGGACGCCAGACGUUUUUUUUUAAGAUUAUUUUUUGGGGCAUUUUUUCGCCUUCCUUAGAGAGAUGACAGCGUAGAGGAGUACUAAAAACGGAGGGAGGGAGAGAGGGAGAGAGGGAGAGAGGGGUAUGACAUGCAACAAAGGUCCCAAGGUCAGAAUCGAACCCGGGACGUUGCGUUUGUGUGGCACGUGCUGCUGUAACCAUUCGGCUAGACAGAAGCUUUUGAUUUGGGGCUUCACCAGCAGCCUGAGACUUUGACCACAAGGCAUGCAGGAGCCAUGGAGAGCACAGAUGGGGCCUGUGGCAGAGGCCUGCCUUUCACAGGCCUGCGCCAGGAGAGAGAGUCAUCCAUCAGGCCACGGCACUCUGGUGCCUAGGGGGGGCCAUUCACUGACCCUAUAAGACUGUUCGGGGCUCAGUGGGAGGCCAGACCCCCCGACUACAUGGACAUCAGUGUCUGGCGUGCUCCACUGAGGCCUGAUCUGAACAGGACCGAGCCAAAGCAGUGACCUGCUUCCGUUUGGAUUCUGUGGAGGGAGAUAUCUAGAUCACAGAUAAUGCUCUGCAAAAAAAAAAAAAUACAGUCUAAACUUUAAUAUUUUACAUCUCAACUAAAACUAAUUUAACAAACACUUGAUAUGUCAAAACAGGUCGACCUUCUACCUUAAAGAAUUCACGACCCCUGACCAUAUAUUUAGCCUCUGAUGCAACUCUAUUACUGUAAUUACAUUGUGCCGUAGUUAAUACAGUGUAAAACUACAGAUGAAGCGAUAUGAAUCUAAUUACGUUAUCCGACGGUCUUCUGAGCCGAUGAGGUCACAGACGGCAUCAGCCAGACGAGCGGCUGGAACCUGCGGCAGCCAAGACAAGCCGCGUGAUUGACAGGUGAACGAGUAAACAGAGAGAUAGUUAGACAAAUGGAAGCUAAGAUAUAGUUUGACAGACAGAUGGGAGCGUAAAUGGAUGGUUUGGCAGCAUGAUAAGGUAAAUAGGCUGAUGGAUCACAAAACAAAUGUGGGAGGAGGAAGGAAGAAAAUAAAAGGAGAAGAAAAGAAAAGAGUGCCUGCCUGCAGACAACAAAAGAUAGAAAGCCAGAUAGUCUGAUGAACACAGAUGGAUCGUGUUGAUUCGCGGCGAGGUGGGGCAAGAUCGAUAGAUUGUUUUAUUCUAUUUGCUUGGCAAACUGGAGAUUUGAUGUGGCUGGUAUCGGGGCGAUCUGCUUCUGAGGACUCCAGGCGUGACUGUUACAGAUGGCGAGAUAGGGACACAUCUCAAUCUUUGGCUAGCUGGCUCAGUGCAGUCGAUCUUAGCUGUAGUGCUAGUAGCACCACCAUCGGUGUCAUCACUUCUGGAGUGUUACAUCAAAAAGGUCUUGUGUGCAUACAGUACUUGCCAACCUUGAGAUCUCAGAAAGAGGGAGGGUCUCAAAACCAAAGCAAAGGGUCUGGUGGUCUUCCCCCAGAAAAAGUUGAGUUUCAGAGACUUUGUUUCAUUCUGGUGACUUUUAAAGAUUUUUUUUGGCCAUUUUGCCUUUAU
Sebastes umbrosus (honeycomb rockfish) is the source of this 2553-nucleotide long non-coding RNA. RefSeq lists it as uncharacterized. The transcript is spliced from 3 exons. Lineage: Eukaryota; Metazoa; Chordata; Actinopteri; Perciformes; Sebastidae. The record is from RefSeq and is a predicted model, not a curated record.